RNAcentral lists this ribosomal RNA (439 nucleotides) under uncultured bacterium. RNAcentral describes it as "partial 16S ribosomal RNA". It matches the Rfam family "Bacterial small subunit ribosomal RNA", at positions 339 to 795 of the family's 1533-position model. The record is from RNAcentral.
CUACGGAGUGCAGCAGUGGGGAAUAUUGCACAAUGGGGGGAACCCUGAUGCAGCAACGCCGCGUGGAGGAUGACGCAUUUCGGCGUGUAAACUCCUUUUAUAUGUCAAGAAAAUGACGGUAGCAUAUGAAUAAGCACCGGCUAACUCCGUGCCAGCAGCCGUGGUAAUACGGAGGGUGCAAGCGUUACUCGGAAUCACUGGGCGUAAAGGACGCGUAGGCGGGUUGGAAAGUCAGGUGUGAAAUCCUACAGCUUAACUGUAGAACUGCACUUGAAACUUCUAAUCUAGAGUAUGGGAGGGGGAGAUGGAAUUAGUGGUGUAGGGGUAAAAUCCGUAGAUAUCACUAGGAAUACCUAAAGCGAAGGCGAUCUCCUGGAACAUUACUGACGCUAAGGCGUGAAAGCGUGGGGAGCAAACAGGAUUAGAUACCCUUGUAGUC